RNAcentral lists this unclassified non-coding RNA (1348 nucleotides) under Hevea brasiliensis (rubber tree). The record is from RNAcentral. Lineage: Eukaryota; Viridiplantae; Streptophyta; Magnoliopsida; Malpighiales; Euphorbiaceae.
GGAACUGAAUUACAUGUUACAAAAUCUGGACGUGCAACUGGAUUUGUAACAAAACCUGGUGUUCUUGUUGGACAAUAUAAAAGGGAUGCUCUUAUUAAAGAAUUUGGAACAAAUGUACCUCAUGUAGGCCUUGGAGAUAGAGAGACUGAUCGCGAUUUCAUCUCCAUAUGCAAGGAGGGUUACAUGGUUCCAAGAUCAAAAAUAGAACCUUUACCAAGAAAUAAACUUCUAAGUCCAGUAAUUUUUCAUGAAGGUCGAUUUGUACAAAGACCUACACCAAUUAUGGCACUUUUAACAUUUUUAUGGAUGCCAAUAGGAAUAAUUCUAUCAAUUCUUAGAGUAUAUCUUAAUAUUCCUUUGCCAGAAAAAAUUGUUAGAUAUAAUUAUAUUAUCCUUGGUAUUAAACUUAUUGUAAAAGGUACACCCCCACCACCCCCUAAAAAUGGCCAACGUGGUGUACUUUUUGUGUGCAACCAUAGAACUAUACUAGACCCCGUUGUUACUGCUGUUGCACUAGGUAGAAAAAUAAGUUGUGUUACCUAUAGUAUUAGUAAAUUUUCUGAGAUGAUAUCGCCGAUUAAAGCGGUCGCGUUAUCUCGAGAGAGGGAGAAAGAUGCAGCACAUAUCAAACAAUUACUUGAAGAAGGUGAUUUGGUUAUAUGUCCCGAAGGUACAACAUGUAGGGAACCGUUUUUAUUGAGAUUUAGCGCACUUUUUGCCGAAUUGACUGAUAGGAUUGUACCUGUGGCAAUCAACACUAAGCAAAGUGUGUUUAAUGGGACAACUGUUAGAGGGUACAAAUUAUUGGAUCCUUAUUUUGUUUUCAUGAAUCCAGACCACAAUCUCAACCUCAUUGGACAUGCAUGGAUGCUACAUAGGGAAGGAAGAUCAUCGGAGAUAAUCGAUCCUAACCUGGUUGAAUCAUGUCAUACAUCAGAAUUGCAACGAUCGAUACACGUGGGAUUGUUAUGUGUUCAACAAAGUCCAGAGGACAGGCCAAACAUGUCUUCUGUAGUUUUGAUGUUGACAAAUGAAGGCAUUUUACCACAACCAAAACCACCAGGUUUUUUCACAGAAAGGAACAUAGAUGAUGCCACUGGAUAUUCUUGGAGUGACCAAACACCUUGUUCUGUCAACGAUGUAACCGUCACUUUGUUGGACGCUCGAUAGCACGUACAAAGAAUUUUGUGCAAGCAGUAUCGACCUAUUGUCACAGUUUUACUUCCUUGUGAAAUGCUCAUAGCUUUUACUUUACACGAUAUAGACAAUAGCGUACAUAGGAUUUUGUGCAAGUAAUACUGACCUAUUUGUCACAGUUUUACUUCCUUAUAAAUUGCUCAUAACUUUU